This 730-nucleotide long non-coding RNA is filed under the name Hordeum vulgare. Its description in RNAcentral is "long non-coding RNA (HVUL_LNC012315)". The record is from RNAcentral. Lineage: Eukaryota; Viridiplantae; Streptophyta; Magnoliopsida; Poales; Poaceae.
UUUUGUCCAAUGUAGCAUUAUCUUGUGUAGAUUAAGCCAGUCAAACUGUGGGCGGUGCGUCUGCUCAGCCAGAUUCGAUUCUUUCCUUGCGAUCGCAGGCAACUCAUGGUCUAAAAGGGAGGGGAAUGCCCAGCUGCGCUGCUUUCAGCGUGACCAACUGAAGGGAAUGACACACCACAUGCUCGUCUCAUACGACCGGAGCUGAAAGAUCGAUCUUGGCACAUGUUAUAAGACAUGAUCAUUACCGAUUAAUUUCAGUCACUGUAUCCGAAUGAUACGACAAGCCGCCUUUGAUUGAUUGAUUGAUGUUCCAUGGAACAUUCGUAUUACAGAGGCUAGCUACUAGGGCUACUAGCUAGCUUCCGAUGCGGAAAGAAGAAGAAGAAAGGGGAAUGAAAUCAGUAGCUGUGUAGGCUAGCAGUCUGCCGCCGAUCUCGUCGGCCUUCGGCGCAGGACGUCACCCAGCGGCCUGCAGACGAAUCAAGAGGACCAUGUUAGAUAGUUACUACAGUUUACUGGUGGAUCGAUCGGCCUGAUCACGGGAGCUUAAUCACCUAGGAGGUGGGAUCGGAUUCGGCGGGGAGCUGCUGCAGCGGAGGCGGCUGCGGGUCCUGGUGGUCGUGGAGGAGCGCGCGGGUCUCGUGGAUCCGGAAGCGGGUGGCGGCCACCACCCGCUUGAGCCGGCGCCGCUUGCCGUAGUUCUCCUCCAGGCGGCGCUGCAGCUCNNNNN